AUUCUGUUGUGAUGAUUUUAGAAUAAAAUUCACAUGUCAGACUUUAGAGAUUUUAAAAUCGAUGAGAAUGACAAUUCUUCUCCUAGCGGAUU
This is a small nucleolar RNA of Vigna unguiculata (cowpea), 92 nucleotides long. RefSeq annotates it as small nucleolar RNA R64/Z200 family. NCBI's taxonomy places the organism in Eukaryota, Viridiplantae, Streptophyta, Magnoliopsida, Fabales, Fabaceae. The record is from RefSeq and is a predicted model, not a curated record.